ACUGGGCAUGGUUGUGCAUGCCUGUAAUCCCAGCAACUGGGAAGGCUGAGGCAGGAGGACCGAAAGUUCAAAGCCAGCCUCAGUAAAAGCAAGGUGCUAAGCAACACAGUGAGACCCUGUCUCUA
Molecule: small RNA, 125 nt
Filed under: Marmota monax (woodchuck)
Lineage: Eukaryota; Metazoa; Chordata; Mammalia; Rodentia; Sciuridae
Source: RNAcentral